RNAcentral lists this long non-coding RNA (1175 nucleotides) under Drosophila melanogaster (fruit fly). Its description in RNAcentral is "antisense RNA:CR43299 (Dmel_CR43299)". Lineage: Eukaryota; Metazoa; Arthropoda; Insecta; Diptera; Drosophilidae. The record is from RNAcentral.
ACUCAACGUGCUCCAAAAAACACAACACCUUUAGGAUUUGCUCAAUGGAAUCUAUACCUUGUAUACUGGAUUGAUCUAGGGCACGAAGACGAAGAAUCCUGCGAGUGGGACGUAUAACAUGAAAGAAACCAACGAAGGAAUUCUCGUCGAAGAGUAUUCACGGCUUUGUGUAAAGAUUCAGAAAUUCAUUUGGAAACAUAAAACAUAAACAUAAAAGCUUUUCAAUUAACAUGAUGAUCCUUUAAUCCUUUGGAAAACCUACAAGUUCCUCAAACGCAUCCAUUCCAUUUGGUAUAAACGCCAAACGCGCAGCUCUACUAACAAUGGAAUAUAUAAUAAUUGUUCAAAAAUCAGUUUUGUGACCACAUCGAUGGUCCACCAUCGAUCACGUCAGCAGCUUCUUCUCCGCGAUGAGCAUCUCCCUUAGCACUCGCCGUGUCCAACUGCGGAAACGUUCCUUGCUGCGAUCGCUCAAAGAUCGGAGCAUGGGCACCAUGCUGAGCAGGAAAUGGCGGUUCGAUUCGUUGGAUAUUUUGGCCAUGGCUGAUGGCGGUGGCGCUCGAAAAAUGGGCAGUAGUAUGAAGUCCAGAUUGGUUUGCCACAACCAUUGAUCGGUGCCCAAUAGCCUGGUCACCUCCUCGUCCACAUCCAGAUCGAAUGCCGGCUCGUCCGUAACCAGAAAGAGUCUCUCCUCCGCCUCGAAUUCGAUGCCACCCUUUUUGAAUGCCGAAUAGCUCGCCACCGAUUGCAGAUAUUGUUGCGGAUGUAGAAUUAGCUUGCUUUUCUUCACCUGAACACGGCAACGCGCAGGAGUCUUGGGCUUGUGUGGCGGGAAGACAUCGCGAACGAACUCCAUUUGUUUGGAGUGCGGCCAGCUCCAGGCGUUGCCUUGGUGGAUCUUAGUGCGGUAGUUGUUACGCAGACUCUUCCAACGCCGCUUGCACUCGUCAACGCCAAGUCCUACCGCAUUGGAGACAUCCAGCCAGUCGAUAGGGAUUUGCGGCCGACGCAGCGAGAAUUUGAUGCGACUGUCCCAGAUCGAUGGACGAAGUGCAAUCUCGCGGAGUAGGUGGUUUGUCUCCAGAUUGUUGGUCGGAUACUUGUUAUCGGCAGAAGUCAUCGCACAUGCACGUGUUGAUGGAAUUCCGAAAAUAAAGAAGGAAUUUAAAAUCGAG